AUGGAUUUCCUGUGAUCGAAUUCCAGUUGUUGCUGUAAAAAUGUUGUACACGUCCGUUCUCCCUGAGUUAUUGUGAAGAACUCACCGUUCCCAUCACCAUCGUGCUGGACCCCAGAGGGGAAGGGACAAUCCCCAGGGUGAUCAGUGGAUGGGGAUCCCCACAAAGGGGCCGGAAGAGCCACCAGGUCCCAAGGGAGGAGGGGACAGCACUGAGGUCCCACAGCUCUUUGCCUCAGGCCCGGCCACCGUCCCCAGGGAAUCCAAGUAUUCUGUGGGACACAGAAGCACUUUCUCCCAGAGAUCCAAGCAGAAAAAAGAGCAGGAGAGGUGGCCAGCACCCCUUUCCUACUGAUUAGGGGGGUUAGACCGUCCCUGGCUGCGAAGCCUUGAAACCCGUUUCCCUCAGCCACACCUGGGAGUUCCUGGCAGAUCCCUGGGGCAGCAGCACACACAGGAAUGACCCGUGGGCUUGGGUGGAAGGAGAGGGAAAGAGGAUCCAGUUCUACCUCCCAGCAAGGGCAGGAUCUGUAAAACACAGAAAUAGCCCCAACUGGAUUUCUGCUUUAAUUAUUUGAAAUUUAGAUAAGCUCCCUGCUGUGUUACACAAACAACUGGUGAUAUGUCAGGUGCACUUCCUUGGAUAUGUACAGCGAGCCCAGUUCCCCCUGCAGCCCUCUCACCUUCCCUUGGAUUAGAGGAAAAGAGUUACAGGAUAAAAAACUGUAACCAGCCACGGGCUGUUCAAGCACUGUGUAAGUGUAGACAUUUAUUUUAAGACCAAUUUAGGCUCUUUUUGAAUGUCUUUCAGUUGCAUCUGUUUCCGUGGGUGAAAAAUCCUGGGAAAAGAUGUGACCAUCAUUUUACAGCCUGAACUACUAAAGCUUGAAUGUUGAAUGCUCCCUGGGUGUUCACAGACGGAGCCCGACACCAAAACAAUAAGGAGUAUGGAGUUAAGGUAAAACACAACUUUUAAAACAUUCUAAGAUAAAGCAGAAUUGUAACUUUGUGGAAUUCUUUCCAUGCUCUCUGCUGGAAACUCAGGGUGCAGGCUCAGGUUUAAGUGUCACAAGCUCUAAUUGCUUUUACAGGUUUUACAGUUUGGGCCACACUCAUUCAAGGAAUUUGGGAGCUGAGCUUAACGGAUUCCCAAGAGUUAACGAGAUUCCUCAAAUGCCAUGUGCUGACUUCCUAACCCAGCUAAGAGAAAUGCUGAAAAAAGAGCUGUUGCUGAGCUCCAGUUCUCGGAGCCAGAAUCCAAGGAGCCUCUAUUAUAAUCUUCCAGCUGAUUGAUCCGAUGGCUCUGGCGGCACUGCUGAUGUCCGGGGCACUCUGGAACAAGGCUCUGCUUUGACCCUUCCUGCUGGAAUGGUUCUGCUCCCUGUGGGCUGACAGGAAUUGUGUGUGUUUCCAGCCUUUGGGUGCAGACACUCCUUUGGGAAGGAAGGAUCCGUGUUCCUGUCUCGGCUGCAGUGAACAGCUCCCAGUGACUCUGUGAUGGAGCUCCCUGCAGUGCAGAGCAGUGGAUUUAACAGCCAGAGCCGUGCAGGCCCAUGUUCCCAGGACACACUGCAAUGCAGGAAUGUGGGUAAGUAAACAACUGUUUCAGUGGGAUUGUUCAAAGAUUGAGAUGUGCUGGAGGCAACUUCCGUGUCCACGGAGUCACUGCCCAUCAGAAGGUGGGGAACCUCCACUGACAGCUCAGGGAACGACACAACUGCAAUGAGAAGCCAGUACUCAACAGAGAUGGGGCAGGUUCCCUGUGUGUGUAGUACCAACAACCUACUCCUGGAACGGGUUGGUUGGAAGGGACCUUAAAGACCAGCUCGUUCCACCCCCUGCCAGGGGCAGAGGCACCUUCCACUAGCCCAGGUUGCUCC
Corapipo altera (White-ruffed manakin) is the source of this 1877-nucleotide long non-coding RNA. RefSeq lists it as uncharacterized. Lineage: Eukaryota; Metazoa; Chordata; Aves; Passeriformes; Pipridae. The transcript is spliced from 3 exons. The record is from RefSeq and is a predicted model, not a curated record.